Molecule: ribosomal RNA, 910 nt
Filed under: uncultured bacterium
Lineage: Bacteria
Description: bacterial SSU rRNA
Rfam family: Bacterial small subunit ribosomal RNA
Source: RNAcentral
ACGCUGGCGGCGUGCCUAAUACAUGCAAGUAGAACGCUGAAGGAGAAGCUUGCUUCUCUGGAUGAGUUGCGAACGGGUGAGUAACGCGUAGGUAACCUGCCUGGUAGCGGGGGAUAACUAUUGGAAACGAUAGCUAAUACCGCAUAAUAGUAGAUGUUGCAUGACAUUUGCUUAAAAGGUGCAAUUGCAUCACUACCAGAUGGACCUGCGUUGUAUUAGCUAGUUGGUGGGGUAACGGCUCACCAAGGCGACGAUACAUAGCCGACCUGAGAGGGUGAUCGGCCACACUGGGACUGAGACACGGCCCAGACUCCUAUGGGAGGCAGCAGUAGGGAAUCUUCGGUAAUGGACGGAAGUCUGACCGAGCAACGCCGCGUGAGUGAAGAAGGUUUUCGGAUCGUAAAGCUCUGUUGUAAGAGAAGAACGAGUGUGAGAGUGGUAAGUUCACACUGUGACGGUAUCUUACCAGAAAGGGACGGCUAACUACGUGCCAGCAGCCGCGGUAAUACGUAGGUCCCGAGCGUUGUCCGGAUUUAUUGGGCGUAAAGCGAGCGCAGGCGGUUAGAUAAGUCUGAAGUUAAAGGCUGUGGCUUAACCAUAGUACGCUUUGGAAACUGUUUAACUUGAGUGCAAGAGGGGAGAGUGGAAUUCCAUGUGUAGCGGUGAAAUGCGUAGAUAUAUGGAGGAACACCGGUGGCGAAAGCGGCUCUCUGGCUUGUAACUGACGCUGAGGCUCGAAAGCGUGGGGAGCAAACAGGAUUAGAUACCCUGGUAGUCCACGCCGUAAACGAUGAGUGCUAGGUGUUAGACCCUUUCCGGGGUUUAGUGCCGUAGCUAACGCAUUAAGCACUCCGCCUGGGGAGUACGACCGCAAGGUUGAAACUCAAAGGAAUUGACGGGGGCCCGCACA